UACGGGGGGGGCAAGCGUUGUUCGGAAUUACUGGGCGUAAAGGGCUCGUAGGCGGCCAACUAAGUCAGACGUGAAAUCCCUCGGCUUAACCGGGGAACUGCGUCUGAUACUGGAUGGCUUGAGAUUGGGAGAGGGAUGCGGAAUUCCAGGUGUAGCGGUGAAAUGCGUAGAGAUGUGGAGGAACACCGAUGGCGAAGGCAGCCCCCUGGGCUAACACUGACGCUCAUGCACGAAAGCGUGGGGAGCAAACAGG
This 253-nucleotide ribosomal RNA is filed under the name uncultured bacterium. RNAcentral describes it as "partial 16S ribosomal RNA". It matches the Rfam family "Bacterial small subunit ribosomal RNA", at positions 524 to 776 of the family's 1533-position model. The record is from RNAcentral.